This is a small nucleolar RNA of Gastrolobium bilobum, 111 nucleotides long. NCBI's taxonomy places the organism in Eukaryota, Viridiplantae, Streptophyta, Magnoliopsida, Fabales, Fabaceae. The record is from RefSeq and is a predicted model, not a curated record.
GUAUCCUCUAUGCCCUUUAGAAUGUCUUCUCCAUAUAUCAAAGAAAAACAGAAGUUUAAUGCUUGCACUUCUUCCUGCGUGGAUUGCAAGUUUGGCUCUUCUGUUACAUAU